This is a long non-coding RNA of Pyrus x bretschneideri (Chinese white pear), 602 nucleotides long. RefSeq lists it as uncharacterized. Lineage: Eukaryota; Viridiplantae; Streptophyta; Magnoliopsida; Rosales; Rosaceae. The record is from RefSeq and is a predicted model, not a curated record. The transcript has 3 exons.
CGGCAACGCAACGCAUAUCCCCACCCCCGAACACUUCGAAACAAAUAAGAAAGAGAGAAGAGGGAUUCCAAAAAAUCCAGUUUUCCACCUCUCUCUCUCUCUCUCUCCUCCCUGACAAUCACAGCUGGAGAUUAUUGAGUUACUUCUGAAGGCAUGCAGUCCGGUGGAGUACUAUACCAAAAAGUGCAAGAAGCUCGUUUUCAAGUAUGCCCCACUCAUGCUUGCCAAUGCAGAGCAAUACCUCGAAACAACAGACGUAUGCACUGCACUAGAUGCCUGUAAUUCGAACACAGCUAGCAUUAUGGAACACAUAUCCAAUCUUUCCGACUCUUAAUCGUGGCAACAAAGAGACACUGGACUGAUGAAUCCAUUCCGUCAUGGGAACAAAGGUAAACUGGAACUUGUGUCUAACACAUCGUUUGUGUAAAAACACUCCCAGGUGUGCCCGGCUGUGCUGUAAUCUCUUUGUGACAGGAGACUUGAUUCAACAUUUAUUUUAAAAUAUGUAACGAUAAAAUUCUGUACCGCAUUAUCUUUGACGAUUCGUAAUCUCUUAUGUUAUUCGAUGCUAAAUCAUAUUUAGAUUGCAAAACAAGGAAAAA